UUGAUGGGGUAAGGCUCCCAGUAGACGACUGGGUUGAUAGGCCGGAUCUGGAAGCCCAGUAAUGGGUGGAGGUGACCGGUACUAAUAGGCCGAGGGCUUGUCCUCAGUUG
This 110-nucleotide ribosomal RNA is filed under the name Streptomyces adustus. RNAcentral's name for it is "partial 23S ribosomal RNA". It matches the Rfam family "Bacterial large subunit ribosomal RNA", at positions 2820 to 2925 of the family's 2925-position model. The record is from RNAcentral. Lineage: Bacteria; Bacillati; Actinomycetota; Actinomycetes; Kitasatosporales; Streptomycetaceae. RNAcentral also lists the same sequence under 1 other name.